Molecule: ribosomal RNA, 98 nt
Filed under: Ancylostoma tubaeforme
Lineage: Eukaryota; Metazoa; Nematoda; Chromadorea; Rhabditida; Ancylostomatidae
Description: partial 5.8S ribosomal RNA
Rfam family: 5.8S ribosomal RNA
About the family: 5.8S ribosomal RNA (5.8S rRNA) is a component of the large subunit of the eukaryotic ribosome. It is transcribed by RNA polymerase I as part of the 45S precursor that also contains 18S and 28S rRNA.
Source: RNAcentral
UCGGACUAGCUUCAGCGAUGGAUCGGUCGAUUCGCGUAUCGAUGAAAAACGCAGCUAGCUGCGUUAUUUACCACGAAUUGCAGACGCUUAGAGUGGUG